Molecule: ribosomal RNA, 446 nt
Filed under: uncultured bacterium
Lineage: Bacteria
Description: SSU rRNA
Rfam family: Bacterial small subunit ribosomal RNA
Source: RNAcentral
AGAGCGAACGCUGGCGGCAGGCCUAACACAUGCAAGUCGAGCGCCCGUAGCAAUACGGGAGCGGCAGACGGGAUAGUAACACGUGGGAACGCGCCCUUCGGUUCGGAAUAACUCAGGGAAACUUGAGCUAAUACCGGAUACGCCCUUACGGGGAAAGAUUUAUUGCCGAAGGAACGGCCCGCGUCCGAUUAGCUAGUUGGUGAGGUAAAGGCUCACCAAGGCGACGAUCAGUAGCUGGUCUGAGAGGAUGAUCAGCCACACUGGGACUGAGACACGGCCCAGACUCCUACGGGAGGCAGCAGUAGGGAAUCUUGCGCAAUGGGCGAAAGCCUGACGCAGCCAUGCCGCGUGAAUGAUGAAGGUCUUAGGAUUGUAAAAUUCUUUCAGCGGGACGAUAAUGACGGUACCCGCAGAAGAAGCCCGGCUAACUUCGUGCCAGCAGCCGC